UCGAACGGACACUUUCGGGUGUUAGUGGCGGACGGGUGAGUAACGCGUGAGAAUCUGCCUUCAGGUUCGGGACAACCAUUGGAAACGAUGGCUAAUACCGGAUAUGCCUUAAUGGGUGAAAGAUUAAUUGCCUGAAGAUGAGCUCGCGUCUGAUUAGCUAGUUGGUGGGGUAAAGGCCUACCAAGGCGACGAUCAGUAACUGGUCUGAGAGGAUGAUCAGUCACACUGGAACUGAGACACGGUCCAGACUCCUACGGGAGGCAGCAGUGGGGAAUUUUCCGCAAUGGGCGAAAGCCUGACGGAGCAAUACCGCGUGAGGGAGGAAGGCUCUUGGGUUGUAAACCUCUUUUCUUAGGGAAGAACAAAAUGACGGUACCUAAGGAAUAAGCAUCGGCUAACUCCGUGCCAGCAGCCGCGGUAAUACGGAGGAUGCAAGCGUUAUCCGGAAUGAUUGGGCGUAAAGCGUCCGCAGGUGGUUUUGUAAGUCUAUUGUUAAAGCGUUUGGCUCAACCAAAUAUAGGCGGUGGAAACUACAAGACUAGAGUACGUUCGGGGCAGAGGGAAUUCCUGGUGUAGCGGUGAAAUGCGUAGAGAUCAGGAAGAACACCGGUGGCGAAAGCGCUCUGCUAGGCCGUAACUGACACUGAGGGACGAAAGCUAGGGGAGCGAAUGGGAGUAGAUACCCCAGUAGUCCUAGCCGUAAACGAUGGAUACUAGGCGUGGCUUGUAUCGACCCGAGCCGUGCCGAGC
Molecule: ribosomal RNA, 750 nt
Filed under: cyanobacterium enrichment culture clone 3_4_3.6.5_C07-T7
Lineage: Bacteria; Bacillati; Cyanobacteriota
Description: bacterial SSU rRNA
Rfam family: Bacterial small subunit ribosomal RNA
Source: RNAcentral